RNAcentral lists this transfer RNA (69 nucleotides) under Bajacalifornia megalops (bigeye smooth-head). RNAcentral describes it as "tRNA-Glu". It matches the Rfam family "tRNA". From Rfam's summary of the family: Transfer RNA (tRNA) molecules are approximately 80 nucleotides in length. Their secondary structure includes four short double-helical elements and three loops (D, anti-codon, and T loops). Further hydrogen bonds mediate the characteristic L-shaped molecular structure. tRNAs have two regions of fundamental functional importance: the anti-codon, which is responsible for specific mRNA codon recognition, and the 3' end, to which the tRNAs corresponding amino acid is attached (by aminoacyl-tRNA synthetases). tRNAs cope with the degeneracy of the genetic code in two manners: having more than one tRNA (with a specific anti-codon) for a particular amino acid; and 'wobble' base-pairing, i.e. permitting non-standard base-pairing at the 3rd anti-codon position. The record is from RNAcentral. Lineage: Eukaryota; Metazoa; Chordata; Actinopteri; Alepocephaliformes; Alepocephalidae.
GUUCCCGUAGUUGAAUUACAACGGUGGUUUUUCAAGUCACUGGUUUCGGUUAGAAUCCGGGCGGGAAUU